GAUGAAGAACGUAGCGAAAUGCGAUAAGUAGUGUGAAUUGCAGAAUUCAGUGAAUCAUCGAAUUUUUGAACGCACAUUGCGCCCCAUGGUAUUCCGUGGGGCAUGCCUGUUCGAGCGUCAUUUACCCCCUCAAGCACCGCUUGGUGUUGGGCGUCUGUCCCGCUUCGCGCGCGGACUCGCCCCAAAGGUAUUGGCAGCGGUCGUGCCAGCUUCUCGCGCAGCACAUUGCGCUUCUCGAGGCACCGGUGGGCCCGCGUCCAUCAAGCUCACCCCCCCAGUUUGACCUCGGAUCAGGUAGGGAUACCCGCUGAACUUAAGCAUAUCAAUAAGCGGAGGA
This 337-nucleotide unclassified non-coding RNA is filed under the name soil metagenome. RNAcentral describes it as "partial contains 5.8S ribosomal RNA, internal transcribed spacer 2, and large subunit ribosomal RNA". The stretch from base 1 to 120 matches the Rfam family "5.8S ribosomal RNA", at positions 35 to 154 of the family's 154-position model. The record is from RNAcentral.